CAGGUGGAAAAUUUAAGGGUGGAUCAGGUGUUAGCACUCCUACAAGAAAAGGCACAAACAAAAAGAAAGAUUUGAGAAGAGUUCCUUCAAAACCUAUAGAAUUUGGAAGGACUAUAUCAUCCCUUCAAACGUCACUGGCCU
Long non-coding RNA from Exaiptasia diaphana, 141 nucleotides. RefSeq lists it as uncharacterized. The transcript is spliced from 4 exons. NCBI's taxonomy places the organism in Eukaryota, Metazoa, Cnidaria, Anthozoa, Actiniaria, Aiptasiidae. The record is from RefSeq and is a predicted model, not a curated record.